Panicum hallii is the source of this 1840-nucleotide RNA transcript. It is a transcript of the gene named solute carrier family 25 member 44-like, with no coding region annotated. The record is from RefSeq and is a predicted model, not a curated record. NCBI's taxonomy places the organism in Eukaryota, Viridiplantae, Streptophyta, Magnoliopsida, Poales, Poaceae. The transcript has 7 exons.
ACCCCGACCGUGCUGGAAACUUCCGUCCAAACCCCUAAAAUGACUUGAGGUGGCGCGGCGCACCCAAACAAACUCGCUCCCUCCUUCCUCCUUCCUCCGCCGCGGCCGGUGCCCUGCCUCCUUUGCCCCCGUGCGCAUAUUCGCCCGCAUCGGCGGCCGACACCGCUCCGGCCGCGCACCGGAAACGCGCACGGCAGUGAGGAAGGCCAGCCGCGCCGCGGUAUCUCCUCUAUUUGUUGUUCCUCCCGCGGAGCGGCGCCUGUUGUGUGUGUAGGCGUGGGGGCGGGUCCAUGGCGGCGGCGGCGGCGGCGGAUACCUCGGAGGCGUCCGCGGCCGGGCUCGCGCUCGCGGAGGCCAACAUCAACUGGGAGAGGUUGGACAAGACAAGGUUUCAUGUCAUCGGGGCAAUCCUGUUUACUGCCCAGCAAGGUGCUCUGCACCCAACAGCUGUUGUGAAGACUAGGAUGCAGGUUGCUGAAGGAGGGAUUGCACACAUGUCUGGAUUUGCUGUUUUUAGGAGGAUAUUGAGAAGCGAUGGCAUCCCUGGUGUUUUCAGAGGCUUCGGCACCUCUGCAGUUGGAGCUCUACCUGGGCGAGUACUGGCUCUAACAUCGCUGGAGGUCUCCAAAGAAAUGACCUUUAAAUACUCAGAACGGUUUGAUAUGUCAGAGGCAUCAAAAAUUGCUUUAGCAAACGGCGUGGGAGGCCUAGCGUCGAGUAUCUGUUCAAGCUCAUAUUUUGUGCCUCUAGAUGUGAUUUGCCAAAGGCUCAUGGUUCAAGGAUUGCCAGGUAUGGCAACAUAUAGAGGCCCAUUUGAUGUGAUAAACAAGGUUGUCAGGAUGGAAGGGAUCCGGGGGCUUUACCGAGGUUUUGGAAUCACGAUGUUGACUCAAUCUCCAGCUUCUGCCCUUUGGUGGAGUGCAUAUGGUGGUGCUCAACAUGCUAUCUGGAGGAGCUUGGGUUAUGGAAAUGACUCGCAAACAAAACCAUCUCAGUCAGAGCUUGUUGCUGUCCAAGCGACAGCAGGAACAAUCGCUGGUGCUUGCUCGUCGAUUAUUACCACACCAAUAGAUACCAUCAAAACUCGUCUUCAAGCCAUUGCCUCAGUUUUGCAACUGCCCUCCUAUACAUCAGUAUGACAUUUCAAGGUUGGCACUGCAACAUUUCUGUUGUUGCCGGUGCUAGCAGACAAUGUUAACAGUACUCGGACGAUCAUAUCAUACCUUAGGUUAUGGACAACUACGGUAGUGGCAGGCCAUCUGUCAUGAAAACAACCAGGCUGCUGCUAGACGAAGAUGGCUGGAGGGGUUUUUAUAGAGGUUUUGGACCAAGGUUUCUUAACAUGUCUCUCUGGGGCACAUCAAUGAUCGUGACUUACGAGCUCAUAAAGAGGCUCUCGGUAAAGUCGGAAUAAUACUUUUUUGACUUAUUUCCCAACAGAGGUGAUUAGUUCAAGAUCAUCUUUACCAAUACAGGCUAUCUAAUGAGUUGCUGCACAAAAAGUGUUGGCAAAUAUUACGAUCGAGUAGGAUGCAGAUUUGCCACUUAGUUCAUUAGUUGCAUAACAUGCUUCUGUAUGAGACUUGCGAUGUAUAUAUGUGUGCUAAAGGCUAAAAGUCCCUCCUUUCAGGAUGUUGUAGCCAGCCUCUAGCGUGUAAUGGGAACAGGCCCAUAGGCCAUAGGCUUGUUCUGGCUAAUGGGGCAGCUUUUUGGCUGUAUCUGUUAAAUGGUUCAGCAAAAUUUUGGCAACGUAGCAUCCUUUUUGUUCAGUGACGAGUUCUCCACUUGUAGGUGUCCGGCUACCUACGUCCUGCUAGGAAUCUACCAAGAUUGUUCAUUA